This 253-nucleotide ribosomal RNA is filed under the name uncultured bacterium. Its description in RNAcentral is "partial 16S ribosomal RNA". It matches the Rfam family "Bacterial small subunit ribosomal RNA", at positions 524 to 776 of the family's 1533-position model. The record is from RNAcentral.
UACGUAGGUGGCAAGCGUUGUCCGGAUUUACUGGGCGUAAAGGGUGCGUAGGCGGAUAUUUCAGUAGAAAGUGAAAGGUUGGAGCUCAACUCCAACAUUGCUUCCUAUACUGGAUGUCUUGAGUUUCGGAGAGGAAGAUGGAACGACACGUGUAGCGGUGAAAUGCGUUGAUAUGUGGCGGAACACCAAUAGCGAAGGCAAGCUGCUGGGCGAAUACUGACGCUGAGGCACGAAAGCCAAGGUAGCGAACAGG